Molecule: long non-coding RNA, 266 nt
Filed under: Lathyrus oleraceus (garden pea)
Lineage: Eukaryota; Viridiplantae; Streptophyta; Magnoliopsida; Fabales; Fabaceae
Description: Pisum sativum (pea) long non-coding RNA (PSAT_LNC040224)
Source: RNAcentral
UGAAAUAAUUGGAAAAGAAAUAACUUGUUUCAAUGUGUCACAUGCCACGAAUGGCAUUUUUGUAAAUAAGCCGUCCACUAAUCAAAACGACCGUGUUUUGGUCCAGGAAAUGAAAUGAGCUGAUUGGCUGUGAGGGAUUUGGAAUAGUAAAGCCAAGCACACGUGAAAAUGAAGUUCUGGGCAUUGCAAGUUCUAGGGUUUUACUGUAGCAAACAGCAUUCCUUCACCAUUUCAAAAAAACAGCAAGAGCAUUUGUUAACCAAAAU